CCUACGGGAGGCAGCAGUGAGGAAUAUUGGUCAAUGGACGCAAGUCCGAACCAGCCAUGCCGCGUGCAGGAAGACGGCUCUAUGAGUUGUAAACUGCUUUUGUACGAGGGUAAACGCAGAUACGCGUAUCUGUCUGAAAGUAUCGUACGAAUAAGGAUCGGCUAACUCCGUGCCAGCAGCCGCGGUAAUACGGAGGAUUCAAGCGUUAUCCGGAUUUAUUGGGUUUCAAGGGUGCGUAGGCGGUCGGUUAAGUUAGCGGUGAAAUCCCGGGGCUCACCUUCGGAAUUGCCUCUGAUACUGUUCGGCUAGAGAGUAGUUGCGGUAGGCUGAAUGUAUGGUGUAGCGGU
RNAcentral lists this ribosomal RNA (347 nucleotides) under uncultured bacterium. RNAcentral describes it as "partial 16S ribosomal RNA". It matches the Rfam family "Bacterial small subunit ribosomal RNA", at positions 338 to 682 of the family's 1533-position model. The record is from RNAcentral.